CUACGGGCGGCAGCAGUUGGGAAUAUUGCGCAAUGGGCGAAAGCCUGACGCAGCGACGCCGCAUGAUCGAAGAAAUCCUUCGGGAUGUAAAGAUCUUUUCUUUGGGACGAUUAUGACAGUACCAGAGGAAUAAGGACUUGCUAACUACGUGCCAGCAGCAGCGGUAAUACGUAGAGUCCAAGUGUUAUCCGGAAUUAUUGGGCGUAAAGUGUUUGUAAGCUGAUUAAUAAGUUAGAUUUAAAAUUUUCAGGCUUAACUUGAAAUUUGGAUUUAAUACUAUUAAUCUUGAGUAUAGUCGGGGUAAAUGGAACUCUCGGUGUAGUAGUGAAAUGCGUUGAUAUCGAGAGGAACACCAAUGGCGAAGGCAAUUUACUAGGUUAAUACUGACGCCGAGGAACGAAAGCGUGGGUAGCGAAAGGGAUUAGAUACCCCGGUAGUC
This 439-nucleotide ribosomal RNA is filed under the name uncultured bacterium. Its description in RNAcentral is "partial 16S ribosomal RNA". It matches the Rfam family "Bacterial small subunit ribosomal RNA", at positions 339 to 795 of the family's 1533-position model. The record is from RNAcentral.